Molecule: unclassified non-coding RNA, 328 nt
Filed under: soil metagenome
Description: partial contains 5.8S ribosomal RNA, internal transcribed spacer 2, and large subunit ribosomal RNA
Rfam family: 5.8S ribosomal RNA (bases 1-120)
Source: RNAcentral
GAUGAAGAACGCAGCGAAAUGCGAUAAGUAAUGUGAAUUGCAGAAUUCAGUGAAUCAUCGAAUCUUUGAACGCACAUUGCGCCCCCUGGCAUUCCGGGGGGCAUGCCUGUCCGAGCGUCAUUACAACCCUCAAGCUCAGCUUGGUGUUGGGCCCCGCCGCCCCGGCGGGCCCUAAAGUCAGUGGCGGUGCCGUCCGGCUCCGAGCGUAGUAAUUCUUCUCGCUCUGGAGGUCCGGUCGCGUGCUCGCCAGCAACCCCCAAUUUUUUUCAGGUUGACCUCGGAUCAGGUAGGGAUACCCGCUGAACUUAAGCAUAUAAUAAGCGGAGGA